Molecule: ribosomal RNA, 507 nt
Filed under: uncultured bacterium
Lineage: Bacteria
Description: partial 16S ribosomal RNA
Rfam family: Bacterial small subunit ribosomal RNA
Source: RNAcentral
GACGAACGCUGGCGGCGUGCCUAAUACAUGCAAGUCGAACGCAUUUUCUUUCACCGUAGCUUGCUACACCGAAAGAAAAUGAGUGGCGAACGGGUGAGUAACACGUGGGCAACCUGCCCAUCAGCGGGGGAUAACACUUGGAAACAGGUGCUAAUACCGCAUAAUUCCAUUUACCGCAUGGUAGAGGGAUGAAAGGCGCUUUUGCGUCACUGAUGGAUGGACCCGCGGUGCAUUAGCUAGUUGGUGGGGUAACGGCCUACCAAGGCUGCGAUGCAUAGCCGACCUGAGAGGGUGAUCGGCCACACUGGGACUGAGACACGGCCCAGACUCCUACGGGAGGCAGCAGUAGGGAAUCUUCGGCAAUGGACGCAAGUCUGACCGAGCAACGCCGCGGGAGUGAAGAAGGUUUUCGGAUCGUAAAACUCUGUUGUUAGAGAAGAACAAGGAUGAGAGUGGAAAGUUCAUCCCUUGACGGUAUCUAACCAGAAAGCCACGGCUAACUACGUG